This 563-nucleotide long non-coding RNA is filed under the name Capsella grandiflora. RNAcentral's name for it is "long non-coding RNA (CGRA_LNC001437)". The record is from RNAcentral. Lineage: Eukaryota; Viridiplantae; Streptophyta; Magnoliopsida; Brassicales; Brassicaceae.
UAUAUAAAUAUAGAUGCAUCCGAAGCUAUAGUGAGAUCAGUGACCAAGUCCGUCUGUGCCUUUGGAAGAGUUUGGAUGCGGAGGACGUUUACAUCGUUUGUAGGGUGCGCACGGAGGAGGUUGUAGAGGAGGAGGUUGUAGAGGUAAGUAUGAACGCUUACAUCGUUUGUAGGGUGGGCACGGACUCGCUAAAAACCGUCGUGGAAUUGAAAUCCGUGGAAUCCUUUGGACCAUCAUCACUUGAUCCGGAUGGUUUGUCUUUUCUCCACCUGCACCACCAAAACACAUUACACCAUUUAUACUGUAUUACAGUACUGUCGAGGUUCGGUAUUGCUAGUGACGAUUUGUCUGUUUAAUUAAUCAUUACGUAUAAACCGAAUUAAAAACCAAACUGAAUCGUGGUACAGCUUAAACUGUUUUAUUAUUUUCACAUAAGAUUAAAAAAAAAAAAAAAAUUGUUAAUAUGAAAUGAAAGUGAAAAAAAAACUAUACCGAAAACUGAAAACUUACAAAGUAAAUAGUAAUGAUUAGUGACCUAUACGCAGAUUUUAAAGAUAUCUAGA